This is a non-coding RNA of Parasteatoda tepidariorum (common house spider), 1097 nucleotides long. NCBI's taxonomy places the organism in Eukaryota, Metazoa, Arthropoda, Arachnida, Araneae, Theridiidae. The record is from RefSeq and is a predicted model, not a curated record.
UUGGACUAAGAACAGGUGCACAUAUGAAAAUACACAUUCUUUUCAGCAGCAAUACUAGCACAACUCAUAAUUCAACUUGAAGGUAAUCUUCGUUUAAGGAAGCUAAAGCAUUUCUAAUGCAUUUUACUCAGCAAUGAAAACUUUAAAACCCACUUAUUUCAAAGCAUGAUUUUUUGAGUUGUGCCGCUAUUGCAGCCCAUAAGUGAUAUAUGAGAUCUGAUCAAACUGAAAAGAAAGUUUUGAGAGAAGGCAAAAUUAAACCAACUUUUCUCACCUAAACUGUUAAUACCUAACAGUUUAAGUACUGAAAGAAUCUAUUUUGGGUUCGGGAAAUAUGUAAAUAUUGCAUCAGCAUAAAUACAGUUCUUUGAAAACUUUUAAUACUGGUGAUGAAAAUAAGCUAAAGUUCUGUCAAAAUUCAAAUUUUUGUCACCACUAUACACUAUUUCGCAGCGAAAAAAAAUACAUAUCUACGUGAGAACUUAUUUUUGCUAACUUUUCCUUUGGAAACUCUCUCUCCAUAAAAUAACGGAAAAAGGAAAAUUUGCUAAAAUCUAAAAUUGGUCUUACGACAAAGCUUUGAGCUGAAAGAAGAACAUAUUUUUCAGUCAAUUUAUAUCAUUCUCUUUUAAAUUUCAGGUUUAAUAGCACAAAUAUGUCUGUGUAUCAAAUCGAUGAAGUAACUAAUGAUUCAGAAGCAGGACUGUUCUGGUUUUGUUACAAAGGCAGUGCUACGCACAGCAUUAGCAGAUGUAUAAAAGAUUGGUAGGUGCAGAAACCUGAUAAAUUUGGUAGCCAUACUCAAGUGUUGAACUAAUGAGAGCAGUGUACGUGCACGUGAGAGUUACAGCAUCAAAGCCCCAAUCUCUACCAGAAAUAUAUUUUUGAAGCUGGAGCCUUUUUCUGCCCCUUUCAGUAAGCCUGUUAAUAUGUUUACCACAGUUGACUUCUGUAUCUAAUGUAAAUCCCAAAUAAGUAGGUGUCUUAGUAGAUUCAAGCAAUUUUCCUUUUAUGCAAAUGUGUCUCUUAGUAUUAAGGACCAUUCUUGAAUCGCCAUUAUAGCAAAGUAUCAGUCGAAUAAACAUUAUGUAAAUGUG